This is a non-coding RNA of Pelobates cultripes (western spadefoot toad), 327 nucleotides long. NCBI's taxonomy places the organism in Eukaryota, Metazoa, Chordata, Amphibia, Anura, Pelobatidae. The record is from the annotation of a GenBank genome assembly.
AGCUCUCAGCAAGCUGCGACUACCCAAGCUUUCUCUGCACCUUCUUCUGCUUCUGCCAGGACUCUGCAUUCUGUAGAGGAAACAAAUCAAAACACACAACCAAUGGCAACAUUUUCAUCUGCCUAACUAGGGGGAAAGGGAGGGAAAGUUAGGAUCCCUGCCCCUAGCCUAGCUGACCGGUAAGUCCCCACCCAGUUAGUCCCUAUAAAUCUAGUCCCCAUAUUGUUACAAAUGUAUCCAUUUUGUCCUAUCCCCUUAUCUCUAGCAGAAGUCAUGUCAACCUCUUUUGUUUGCUAAACCAUUUAUCGUUCUACCAGUGAAAUGUCG